CCUACGUGCGACAGCAGUGAGGAAUAUUGGUCAAUGGGCGGAAGCCUGAACCAGCCAAGUCGCGUGAGGGAAUAAGGCCCUAAGGGUCGUAAACCUCUUUUGCCGGGGAGCAAGGGCGGGGACGUGUCCCGGCCCGGAGAGUACCCGGCGAAAAAGCAUCGGCUAACUCCGGGCCAGACGCCGCGGUAAUACGGAGAAUGCGAGCGGUAUCCGGAGUGAGUUGGUUUAAAGGUGGCGGAGGCGGGCUUUUAAGUCAGCGGUAAAAAUUCGGGGCUAAACCCCGUCCGGCCGUGGAAACUGGGGGCCUUGAGUGGGCGAGAAGAAGGCGGAAUGCGUGGUGUAGCGGUGAAAUGCAUAGAUAUCACGCAGAACCCCGAUUGCGAAGGCAGCCUUCCGGCGCCCUACUGACGCUGAGGCACGAAAGUGCGGGGAUCGAACAGGAUUAGAUACCCCUGUAGUUC
This 461-nucleotide ribosomal RNA is filed under the name uncultured bacterium. RNAcentral's name for it is "partial 16S ribosomal RNA". It matches the Rfam family "Bacterial small subunit ribosomal RNA", at positions 338 to 796 of the family's 1533-position model. The record is from RNAcentral.